Molecule: non-coding RNA, 389 nt
Organism: Biomphalaria pfeifferi
Lineage: Eukaryota; Metazoa; Mollusca; Gastropoda; Planorbidae
Source: the annotation of a GenBank genome assembly
CCCCCCUGCCCCCAACUGGUCCAGAUACGUGAUAGGAUCAAAAGGUAAAAAGCAUGAAACACUGAUAAACAAAAACAAUUGGUAAAAAUAUUUUCUAAUGGCACAGAUUUCUAAUUGAUAUAACUACACUAAGUAUAAGCUUCUUUUUUUUAUUUUAAAGGUUUUUUUGUGAACCAAUAUGUUUGUAUGCAUGCUUUUAUAUUCCAUCAAGUAAGAUUAGAUCGCAUUCUAAUUUCUAUGUAGAUUUUGACUUAUGUUUCUAGAUGGUUCUAAGGAUUCUAUUUCUUGCUUAUCAUUACCCUACAGCCAUAAUUUGUUUUGAUAUAGUUUUUUCAUUAAUGAUAACUUAUUCAAUUUUAAUACUUAUGACUAGAGAAACAUUUAGUUUG